RNAcentral lists this microRNA (20 nucleotides) under Monodelphis domestica (gray short-tailed opossum). RNAcentral describes it as "mdo-miR-7262e-5p". The record is from miRBase by way of RNAcentral. Lineage: Eukaryota; Metazoa; Chordata; Mammalia; Didelphimorphia; Didelphidae.
AAAAGUCUUAGAGCAGUAUU